Molecule: long non-coding RNA, 1026 nt
Organism: Vigna umbellata (rice bean)
Lineage: Eukaryota; Viridiplantae; Streptophyta; Magnoliopsida; Fabales; Fabaceae
Source: RefSeq, a predicted model, not a curated record
GAUGGUUAUACAAGAACGCAUGCAGAUUUUUCGUUUGUGGAAACAGAAGCGGAAAGAGAGGAAGCCGUAGAUUACAAGGCUUUCUUCUCUGUCUGUCACUCUCUUACUCUGUCACGCACAUUGCACCAACAAUAGCAUCCAUUUCUCUCUUUCACUCCUAUUCAUGAGUCGCUACGAUCCCAAUCCCUUCGACCAAGAAGAGGUCGAGGUUAAUCCCUUCGUGGUUAGUAUUCAUUUAACCUAACCUCCUUUCAUUCGAUUUUUCGCUGCCUAAUUCAUUCUUCGAAGUCGCUAUUCGCUAUACCUAGAUCCUUGCAUAAUCUUGUUCGAACAACACCCCGGAGCCAUCGAUUUGCAUAAAGAAGACCGAGGAGGAGGAAGUUGAAUCUUUAGAGAAAGAGCUUCUCGACUUGUUCGGCUAUUAUAAGGAAUUUAUGGCUGAAAAGUGAAGAUCAACCUGAAUAGUCACUGGAGUGGUUCAGGAGAAGACUUAUUCGAAGAUCUCGUCUCGUUUAUGCUAAUCGAGAGUGACCUUCCGCUCUCGAAGCUGGUCGAGGAGAUCUAGUAUCGAUUGAACCGGGAGGUUCUUAGCGGCACGAUCGUGCUGGCGGAGCCGGUAACGUACCGGAGUGUGAUGAGGGCUAUGAUCUUGGAUGAAGGAAUGAUAUCUAGGUUGCCGGAUGAAAUCGAUGCACAGAUUACUAAUAAAUGUGUCGGAGAAGAUCAUGGUUAGGAUUCAAGCGAUAUAUGAUAUCUGAAAUGAGAACGCAUGCAUAAAGCUCAGGAUAUCGACUUGAUAAGGCAUUAUUGGGAGAUAUGUUAUGAGUGAUGAGGCUCAAGAUUGGAAAGGGUUCGACAGAUUCAAGAGAAUGAUGUUAACGAAGGUUCGACAGAUUCAAGAGAAUGAUGUUAACGAAGAGACUUAAAUAAAGAAAGGAAUUUGCAGAGAAAACAUAAUUGGUUCAUAUUAUCACAUGUAAUCGAUUCCAAUUUUCCAACUGUAAAAUUUUUAUACACAAUAUUAUA